GUCGGUAUGAUGGAAUUGGCAGACGUGGCGGACUCAAAAUCCGCUGGUAGCGAUACCGUGCGGGUUCAAGUCCCGCUACCGGCACCA
Molecule: transfer RNA, 87 nt
Filed under: Candidatus Faecivivens stercoravium
Lineage: Bacteria; Bacillati; Bacillota; Clostridia; Eubacteriales; Oscillospiraceae
Description: tRNA-Leu
Rfam family: tRNA
About the family: Transfer RNA (tRNA) molecules are approximately 80 nucleotides in length. Their secondary structure includes four short double-helical elements and three loops (D, anti-codon, and T loops). Further hydrogen bonds mediate the characteristic L-shaped molecular structure. tRNAs have two regions of fundamental functional importance: the anti-codon, which is responsible for specific mRNA codon recognition, and the 3' end, to which the tRNAs corresponding amino acid is attached (by aminoacyl-tRNA synthetases). tRNAs cope with the degeneracy of the genetic code in two manners: having more than one tRNA (with a specific anti-codon) for a particular amino acid; and 'wobble' base-pairing, i.e. permitting non-standard base-pairing at the 3rd anti-codon position.
Source: RNAcentral